This is a small RNA of Plasmodium falciparum RAJ116, 155 nucleotides long. It matches the Rfam family "Plasmodium RNA of unknown function RUF6-5". The record is from Rfam. NCBI's taxonomy places the organism in Eukaryota, Apicomplexa, Aconoidasida, Haemosporida, Plasmodiidae.
AGCUGCCCCAGUAGCCCAGUCGUUAGGUAUGUAGCUUUCCUUGUGAGAACGUUGGUUCGACUCCGCUUGCCGACAAUUUCAUAAGAAAAGUUGCAAAUCGAGCUGCUAAGUUACCCGGAGGGGGGCGGCGCAAUUUUUUUUUUUUUUUAUAUAAU